GCGGCGCAGGAAGCGUCUUUGCACAGGAAAGCUCAGCCUCCAGUCGGAUGGGGAAACGCGACAAUCUAUGAUACAAAACCAGUAGCUGUCUGCGAAGAUGGAGGGGAAUUAUGCUUCGGAUUCCUCCGAAAUAUUGGCAAAAGGCUUCAAAGGAUCCGCGGUGGGGGAAGGGGGGAAUUAGCUCCCCAGCCUGCACCCACCCCUUCCCACUUCGCGUCUACCAAAUGACAGCCUGGUGCUUGCUCUCGGUGAUUUGGCCUUGACUUCAGCCAAGCAGCUGAUGCCGACGAGGCCCGGGCUUGCAGGACUGGCAAAGUGGACACUAAAGCAAGAAGGAAGAAUGUUUUUUUUUUUUUUAAAAAAAACAGCUCUGAGAAGGUUUCUCACUUUUUUUUUUUUUUUUUUUUGGAUUUUUAAACAAUUUUUUUCACCAUUUGAUCAGUCCCAGCCCCUCCCACCUCCGACCAAAUUGCUUUUUUUUUUUUUUUUUUAAUUUUUUCUUUUAAAUUCUCGUGAAAGCAUAAACUACAGAGUUACAGUCUCUAGAUUUGGUGUAUGGCUUCCUGCCCCGACUACCCCUCCCCGCCCCCGUUCUCGGUCCUGGCUCUUGAAGCACCUCGCCCUGCUAGCGAAUGCGAGCUCACAUCCCCCUCACCCCACCCCACCCCUUGCUCGGGAGGGUGCUACAGGAGGCUGCAGCCCUGUUCCACUUCGAAUGGUUGUGUUGAUGUUCCUUUCAACUGGUCCUCUAGCCUCCCCUUCCUCAGGACUCUCUCCCCAGUGAAAGGACAAAUACUACAGAGACUCCUACAUUGAUGGAACCUCAAACCAACUAUGAAGUUGAAACAAAGAGAAUGAACACCAGAAGAUACCUCUCUUGCUAAGCGGUGCAGUAUCGGCCAAUAGAAAACUCAGAACGAGACAAUCUUUUCAAGAUAGAAACACUUAAUAAUGACAUCUAGAUUUCUCAUGAGCCAAGGACCUUCCUUUUCUCUGUUUGUAUUGAUGUUCAGUGUGGCAUUCAUUUAUUUUAUUUUUCCUAGUAUGAAUAUGCCUACUAAAGCACCAAUUUUAGAAUUCAAAAUUGCACAUAUGCGUUAUGUUUUAAGGUACAAACUCAAUGCAAUAAGUAGAUUUUAGUCACACACUCUUUGAUCUUAGGGGUGACUUGGAGAAUAAAAAUUGCUUUUGAAAUAACGAAGUAAUGACAGGCAAUCCAAAGUAUAAAAUAAUUCUAGGGAAACCUACUACAGCACAGUAAGGCACAUUAUUCCACCUGACAACAACCAAUCAACUAACCAUUAUUUUUAUCAAGCACCUAGGUUUGGUGGGAUAUGGUGUCUGUCUCCAAUGAGCUUAAACCUAUUUAGACAGAGUUACAUAAACUUUUCAAAAGACAAGUAACAAAUUGGGUUGGUAGAUGAUAAGAGCAAAAAAAGUAAAAGACGGUAUAAACAUAGAGCUCAGAGGAGGUCAUAGUAAACUAGGCAAAACUGGCCUGGUUGUGGAAGAAAGUUCCCAAAGGAGGGAGAACGUAAGAUGAAUCUUGAAGGAUGUUAAAGAUUUAGAUAAAUGGAAAGGAUGGAGAAAAUAGUCCUUUAGAUGGAAAUAAUAUUGUGAGCAAAGCCAUGGAAGAAGGAAUCCACGUGGAAAUUUUAGGGGAUUAUGCAUACUUACACAUCUAGUUGACUUCAAUCUAGACAUCCAAAACAUAUACAUAUAUAUGGUAUGGAUUUCAUACAGACACCUCCUCUCACCCACUCCAAGUGCUGCCUAGAAUUUAAUCCUAUCUCUUUGCCAUUACAAUGAGUUAAGGUGGUUGGUGAUAAUAUGGGAAGCUUGUGAUUUUUCUGUUAACCUAAUAAGAAUUGGUAUUAAGUUCUAACUAUAUGUUAAUCAUUUUACAUAUGUUAAGCCGCUCAAGCCUCAUAAUAACCCAGCAAAAAUAGGGAUUAUCAUCCCCAUUUUACAGACAAGAAAACUGAGACCUAAUGAGAUUAAGUCACUUGCCAAUGUGACGUAUACAGAUUUCACAUAUAGGAUUAUGAUCACAAAGCUAAUGAUGUGAGGCACUAUGUUGUAAAAUUUGUGAUCAAUAUCAUAUUAUUAUCUUUUUCUAUAUUCCUUUAUAUUUUUCUAUGGAAAACACAUAGAUGUUUCUUUUAACAAUUCCCUCAAAUGUUUCCGUUUUCUGGGUAAGCAGAAAAUUUUAAAAAAGUUGCAAAUGGAGUUUUUCAGCAUUUUAGGUUAUUAUUUGUUUUUUGCUUUUUUUUUUUUUUUUUUUUGUCAAAUUUGAUGAGCUUGUCCACUUUGGUCUGCAAGAAAUCGCCAUUCCUGAGCAUAAAUAAAAGCCUGGAGGAUUUAAGUGUUAUCUCUUGUGAUCUCUUUUUUACAGACGAGGGAAAUCUACAACCUCCAGGGUUAGAAUAAUUUCUGAAGGAUUAUACAGUGAACUUGGCAAAGCUAGGUCGGGAAGCUAGGCCCUCCAGGCCACACUCAGUGACUCUUGAACUACUCCACCCUGCCCAAACUUGAAUUUGAUCAACAGAAACAUUCUAGCUAGGUAAUAAGGGAACAUCAUGCCUAAUAAAUUACUUCAAUCUACACCUCUCUUGACUUCCCACCUCAAUGUGAAAAAUAGCUGGCUAUGAAUUAACAUCUUUAAAUCCAGAAAUUACUAAGGUCCCCCCCUAAAGACCAUGUAAUGACCAAAUUUUUAGGUGUACAAUGUCUUCAAUUAGAUCCUUAAGUUAUUUGGAAUUCUUAGUUCAUCUAAACAAAUUAGCUCUUCUAGUGAGUUUCUUCUUAUCCAACUUCUUAUAUACUUGUAAGUGCUUUUACAUGAAUGUUUAUAAAGAACUGUUUCAAUAGCACUUAGGUUUUUUACAAUAUUGGUAAGUUAUUUACUCUUUUAAUCCUCAUUUAUCCAUGUAACUAACUCAAGAAUACUUCAGCCAUAAAAAGCUAAAACAGAGAAAAUCUCACUCUGUUAAUAGCCCCUUUGCAUUCAGUUGACAUUUAGUGAUGAUUAAUAAAGUGGUCAGCUGCAUAACAGGUUCAAAAGGCAGUUCUGUCUUGAAGGAGUCAGUUAAGCUGGGUCUACUUAAGGACAAACCUUUGGAAGUAUCUGAAUAUAUGACCGCUGCAAAAUUUCCACUCGGAUAUCUGGCAUUAGUGAGACUUAGACCUCCUCUUGGCUCUGGUUGUCCUAUUUUCAAAAUGAUGUUUAUUUGUCAUAUCUCACACAGUUCUCAUUAAGUGAGUUCAUAAAUAAACAGGGUUUUUAAAAGAGAAGCCAAGCACAAAGUGUGACUUUGUUGACAUUUUAUAUGAAUCUGUCAUAUGUCCCUUAUAUCUUCAAUAAAAUCAGUGUUGCAUCGACUAU
This 3385-nucleotide long non-coding RNA is filed under the name Dasypus novemcinctus (nine-banded armadillo). RNAcentral describes it as "lncRNA (ENSDNOG00000051257.1)". The record is from RNAcentral. Lineage: Eukaryota; Metazoa; Chordata; Mammalia; Cingulata; Dasypodidae.